This is a non-coding RNA of Oryza brachyantha (malo sina), 208 nucleotides long. Lineage: Eukaryota; Viridiplantae; Streptophyta; Magnoliopsida; Poales; Poaceae. The record is from Rfam.
AAUAAGAUCAUUUUUCGUUUUUCCGUGUCCAACGUUUGACCAUUCAUCUUAUUUGAAAAAAUUUUGCGAUUAAUAUUUUUGUUCUUACUAGAUGAUAAAACAUGAAUAAUACUUUAUGCGUGACUAAUUUUUUAAAUUUUUAUAUAAUUUUUUCAAAUAAGACAAAUGGUCAAACGUUGGAUACGGAAAAAUGAAAAAUGAUCUUAUU